Suncus etruscus (white-toothed pygmy shrew) is the source of this 104-nucleotide small nuclear RNA. Lineage: Eukaryota; Metazoa; Chordata; Mammalia; Eulipotyphla; Soricidae. The record is from RefSeq and is a predicted model, not a curated record.
GUCCUUACUUCAGCAGCACAAAUAAUAAAAUUAGAAUGAUCCAGAGAAGACUAGCCCAGCAUCUGUGCAAGGACAUGCAAAUUCAUGAAGUGUUCCACAUAUUU